RNAcentral lists this ribosomal RNA (546 nucleotides) under uncultured Glomus. RNAcentral's name for it is "SSU rRNA". It matches the Rfam family "Eukaryotic small subunit ribosomal RNA", at positions 548 to 1097 of the family's 1831-position model. Lineage: Eukaryota; Fungi; Glomeromycota; Glomeromycetes; Glomerales; Glomeraceae. The record is from RNAcentral.
UUGGAGGGCAAGUCUGGUGCCAGCAGCCGCGGUAAUUCCAGCUCCAAUAGCGUAUAUUAAAGUUGUUGCAGUUAAAAAGCUCGUAGUUGAAUUUCGAGAUCGGCUUACUGGUCGUGCUUUUGUACGUACUGGUAAAUCGGUUUCUCCUUUCUGACGAACUUUAAUGCCAUUAAUUUGGUGUUUUAGGGAAUCAGGACUGUUACUUUGAAAAAAUUAGAGUGUUUAAAGCAGGCUCACGCUUGAAUACAUUAGCAUGGAAUAACGGAAUAGGACGUUUGAUUCUAUUUUGUUGGUUUCUAGGAUCGACGUAAUGAUUAAUAGGGAUAGUUGGGGGCAUUAGUAUUCAAUUGUCAGAGGUGAAAUUCUUGGAUUUAUUGAAGACUAACUACUGCGAAAGCAUUUGCCAAGGAUGUUUUCAUUAAUCAAGAACGAAAGUUAGGGGAUCGAAGACGAUCAGAUACCGUCGUAGUCUUAACCAUAAACUAUNCCGACUAGGGAUCGGAUGAUGUUAAUUUUUUAAUGACUCAUUCGGCGCCUUACGGGAAA